RNAcentral lists this small nuclear RNA (96 nucleotides) under Octodon degus (degu). The record is from RNAcentral. Lineage: Eukaryota; Metazoa; Chordata; Mammalia; Rodentia; Octodontidae.
CUGCUUCAGCAGCACAAAAAUUGAAAUGAUACAGAGAAGAUUAGUGUGGCCCCUGUGCAAGGAUGCCACAUAAUUCAUGAAACUUCCCAUGUUUUU